UGCGUAGGCGGUUUGUUAAGUCAGAUGUGAAAGCCCCGGGCUCAACCUGGGAACUGCAUUUGAUACUGGCAGGCUAGAGUACGGUAGAGGGUGGUGGAAUUCCCGGUGUAGCGGUGAAAUGCGUAGAGAUCGGGAGGAACAUCCGUGGCGAAGGCGGCCACCUGGACCAGUACUGACGCUGAGGCACGAAAGCGUGGGGAGCAAACA
RNAcentral lists this ribosomal RNA (207 nucleotides) under uncultured Lysobacteraceae bacterium. Its description in RNAcentral is "uncultured Xanthomonadaceae bacterium partial 16S ribosomal RNA". It matches the Rfam family "Bacterial small subunit ribosomal RNA", at positions 568 to 774 of the family's 1533-position model. Lineage: Bacteria; Pseudomonadati; Pseudomonadota; Gammaproteobacteria; Lysobacterales; Lysobacteraceae. The record is from RNAcentral.